GGAGCGGCUCGGGGGUUCGCCGGCGGGGCUUCGGCUCCGCGGGAGGAAAGUCCGAGCACCGCAGGGCAGGGUGCCAGGUAACGCCUGGUGGGGGUGACCCCGAGGAAAGUGCCACAGAGAGCAGACUGCCGGGCCGCGCUUCGGCGCCGCCCGGUGAGGGUGAAAGGGUGAGGCAAGAGCUCACCGGGCCGACGGUGACGUCGGUCGCACGGCAAACCCCACCCGGUGCAAGGCGAAAUAGGGAAGCGCUCGAGGGUGGCCCGCCCGAGCUUCCGGGUUGCGUCGCUCGAGGCCGUCGGUGACGGCGGCCCUAGACGAAUGAGCCCCACCCGCGCGCCGGUGACGGUCGCGGGGACAGAACUCGGCUUACGAGCCCUCCGGCC
RNAcentral lists this RNase P RNA (383 nucleotides) under Sandaracinus sp. Its description in RNAcentral is "RNase P RNA component class A". It matches the Rfam family "Bacterial RNase P class A". From Rfam's summary of the family: Ribonuclease P (RNase P) is a ubiquitous endoribonuclease, found in archaea, bacteria and eukarya as well as chloroplasts and mitochondria. Its best characterised activity is the generation of mature 5'-ends of tRNAs by cleaving the 5'-leader elements of precursor-tRNAs. RNAcentral also lists the same sequence under 2 other names. The record is from RNAcentral. Lineage: Bacteria; Pseudomonadati; Myxococcota; Polyangiales; Sandaracinaceae.